This 914-nucleotide long non-coding RNA is filed under the name Lonchura striata (white-rumped munia). Its description in RNAcentral is "domestica (Bengalese finch) lncRNA (ENSLSDG00000011096.1)". Lineage: Eukaryota; Metazoa; Chordata; Aves; Passeriformes; Estrildidae. The record is from RNAcentral.
GAAAGAUGAACAGUGAUGCCAUUCUCCUCAAACAGCUGAGUGUCCUGGCCACGGCUUUUGGAAAUCUUGGAUGCUUGGCUUCUCUGAUCUUUGGCACUUAUCCUGCAGCUCAUGACUCUGAUGCAGUCAGCCCACAGGCAGGGCUGCCUUGGUGUGGUACAACCUGGAGCCAUACAUUAGCUGAUCUCUAUGAAGUAUGGACAGAUCUCGUGGGAGUUCCAAUGGCUGGUUGAAAAGCCUUUAAGGCCAGACACAAGAAGAAUGACUUCUUCUAGGCUUGUUAAUGAGGACUGUAAAUCCAGGCAGACUUUGGAAUGACUCCUAGGAAAACAAAGAUUAACUGCUGUGAAUGUUCCAAACUCCAUGUUCUGCCCCAUGAGAAGCAGAGAAAUGCCAUGCAUUUUCAGUUGUCAUCUGAGAGGGAUCCUACACACUGGCUCUGGGAAGGAAACUGCCUUUGGUUAGAGCAACUUGUGUCUGGACUCAAAUGGACACUUUACAGAACAGAGGUAUCCAAAGACAGGGUGCAAGCAGAAGAAAGCAUCAUGGAGCUGCAAAUAUGGUUCCAGCAGAAUAUUAGGUGCUUUGUACAGGAGUCAUUCAAAAUGUCAUUGACUAUCAGCUCUCUCUCUCUCUGUGUUACUUCCACAGUCAUGUCUUCUCAGAGCUGCCAUGCCUCGUGUGAUAACUAGUAUGGUAAGUACAGUUCCUCUGCUUCAGCAAACACCAGCAGUAGCCCCUGAUCAGACUGAGCCAUUGGGAGACAGAGCAUGCUGCAGCCAUCCCACCAAACCUGCUCGGUGGGAUGGCACAAGCACUUAACAGAAUAAGAAAGUUGGUCUUCGUGUCCUUCCCCUGUGGCCACAAACGUGAUCUGAGACAUGCCCCUCUCCAUUCUGCUGCUGUGUACCUUC